GCCGCGGUGGUGAAAUGGUAUACACGAAGGCCUUAAGAGCCUUUAUCCGCAAGGGUGUGAGAGUUCGACUCUCUCCCGCGGCA
Molecule: transfer RNA, 83 nt
Filed under: Patescibacteria group bacterium
Lineage: Bacteria
Also listed under: 1 other name
Description: tRNA-Leu
Rfam family: tRNA
About the family: Transfer RNA (tRNA) molecules are approximately 80 nucleotides in length. Their secondary structure includes four short double-helical elements and three loops (D, anti-codon, and T loops).
Source: RNAcentral